RNAcentral lists this transfer RNA (73 nucleotides) under Burkholderia sp. JPY481. RNAcentral describes it as "tRNA-Lys". It matches the Rfam family "tRNA". From Rfam's summary of the family: Transfer RNA (tRNA) molecules are approximately 80 nucleotides in length. Their secondary structure includes four short double-helical elements and three loops (D, anti-codon, and T loops). Further hydrogen bonds mediate the characteristic L-shaped molecular structure. tRNAs have two regions of fundamental functional importance: the anti-codon, which is responsible for specific mRNA codon recognition, and the 3' end, to which the tRNAs corresponding amino acid is attached (by aminoacyl-tRNA synthetases). tRNAs cope with the degeneracy of the genetic code in two manners: having more than one tRNA (with a specific anti-codon) for a particular amino acid; and 'wobble' base-pairing, i.e. permitting non-standard base-pairing at the 3rd anti-codon position. Lineage: Bacteria; Pseudomonadati; Pseudomonadota; Betaproteobacteria; Burkholderiales; Burkholderiaceae. The record is from RNAcentral. RNAcentral also lists the same sequence under 6 other names.
GGGCCGUUAGCUCAAUUGGUAGAGCAGCGGACUUUUAAUCCGUUGGUUACUGGUUCGAAUCCGGUACGGCCCA